Molecule: transfer RNA, 73 nt
Filed under: Sporothrix schenckii ATCC 58251
Lineage: Eukaryota; Fungi; Ascomycota; Sordariomycetes; Ophiostomatales; Ophiostomataceae
Description: tRNA-Ala (AGC) (tRNA-Ala-AGC-2 1 to 3)
Rfam family: tRNA
About the family: Transfer RNA (tRNA) molecules are approximately 80 nucleotides in length. Their secondary structure includes four short double-helical elements and three loops (D, anti-codon, and T loops). Further hydrogen bonds mediate the characteristic L-shaped molecular structure. tRNAs have two regions of fundamental functional importance: the anti-codon, which is responsible for specific mRNA codon recognition, and the 3' end, to which the tRNAs corresponding amino acid is attached (by aminoacyl-tRNA synthetases). tRNAs cope with the degeneracy of the genetic code in two manners: having more than one tRNA (with a specific anti-codon) for a particular amino acid; and 'wobble' base-pairing, i.e. permitting non-standard base-pairing at the 3rd anti-codon position.
Source: RNAcentral
GGGCAAUUGGCUUAGGUGGUAUAGCGCCCGCUUAGCAUGCGGGAGGUCCAGGGUUCGAGUCCCUGAUUGUCCA